RNAcentral lists this ribosomal RNA (253 nucleotides) under uncultured bacterium. Its description in RNAcentral is "partial 16S ribosomal RNA". It matches the Rfam family "Bacterial small subunit ribosomal RNA", at positions 524 to 776 of the family's 1533-position model. The record is from RNAcentral.
UACAGAGGGGGCAAGCGUUAUUCGGAAUUAUUGGGCGUAAAGGGCGCGUAGGCGGCUUGGCAAGUGGAAGGUGAAAUCCCUCGGCUUAACCGAGGAACUGCCCUCCAAACUGCUUCGCUUGAGACCGGGAGAGGUGAGUGGAAUUCCCAGUGUAGCGGUGAAAUGCGUAGAUAUUGGGAGGAACACCAGUGGCGAAGGCGAGUCCCUGGACGAUACCUGACACUGAGGCACGAAAGCCAAGGGAGCAAACAGG